This 72-nucleotide transfer RNA is filed under the name Phrynosoma platyrhinos (Desert horned lizard). RNAcentral's name for it is "tRNA-OTHER". The record is from RNAcentral. Lineage: Eukaryota; Metazoa; Chordata; Lepidosauria; Squamata; Phrynosomatidae.
GCCAGUAUGGCGUAGUGGUUUAAGUGUUGGACCAUGACUCCGGAGACCAGGGUUCGAUUCCCACCUCAACCA